GUGGUGCUUCUGGGGAUGGUACUGGAGGGCUUGAUUGGAUCGGAAGUUGUUCAUACUUUACAAUCCAAGGGAGAGUGGUGCUAAAAUUGGGUGGCUCUAGAAGUGUAUUUACUUCUCUGCUAUACUCAUCAUUGUCAAAAUCAUCCACUCCAAAGUGUGCUAAGUAUGCCUGUAAAGGGUCUGAGUCGAGCAAGAUGGGGGUUCUGUCCUCUACAAAUUCCUCUAACAAAUUGAUCUCACCAUGGUCAAAAGUGGAUGGUCCCUAUGCUACAUUAAAAAUAUUCAACCUCAGC
This 293-nucleotide long non-coding RNA is filed under the name Elaeis guineensis (African oil palm). RNAcentral's name for it is "long non-coding RNA (EGUI_LNC053947)". Lineage: Eukaryota; Viridiplantae; Streptophyta; Magnoliopsida; Arecales; Arecaceae. The record is from RNAcentral.